GAUGAACGCUGGCGGCGUGCCUAAUACAUGCAAGUCGAGCGAACAGAUGAGGAGCUUGCUCCUCUGACGUUAGCGGCGGACGGGUGAGUAACACGUGGAUAACCUACCUAUAAGACUGGGAUAACUUCGGGAAACCGGAGCUAAUACCGGAUAAUAUAUUGAACCGCAUGGUUCAAUAGUGAAAGACGGUUUUGCUGUCACUUAUAGAUGGAUCCGCGCCGCAUUAGCUAGUUGGUAAGGUAACGGCUUACCAAGGCAACGAUGCGUAGCCGACCUGAGAGGGUGAUCGGCCACACUGGAACUGAGACACGGUCCAGACUCCUACGGGAGGCAGCAGUAGGGAAUCUUCCGCAAUGGGCGAAAGCCUGACGGAGCAACGCCGCGUGAGUGAUGAAGGUCUUCGGAUCGUAAAACUCUGUUAUUAGGGAAGAACAAAUGUGUAAGUAACUAUGCACGUCUUGACGGUACCUAACCAGAGAGCCACGGCUAACUACGUG
This 497-nucleotide ribosomal RNA is filed under the name uncultured bacterium. RNAcentral's name for it is "partial 16S ribosomal RNA". It matches the Rfam family "Bacterial small subunit ribosomal RNA", at positions 28 to 507 of the family's 1533-position model. The record is from RNAcentral.